UACGAAGGGGGCUAGCGUUGCUCGGAAUCAUUGGGCGUAAAGGGUGUGUAGGUGGCGCCGUAAGUCGGGUGUGAAAUUUCGGAGCUUAACUCCGAAACUGCAUUCGAUACUGCGGUGCUUGAGGACUGGAGAGGAGACUGGAAUUCAUGGUGUAGCAGUGAAAUGCGUAGAGAUCAUGAGGAAGACCAGUGGCGAAGGCGGGUCUCUGGACAGUUCCUGACACUGAGACACGAAGGCCAGGGGAGCAAACGGG
RNAcentral lists this ribosomal RNA (253 nucleotides) under uncultured bacterium. RNAcentral's name for it is "partial 16S ribosomal RNA". It matches the Rfam family "Bacterial small subunit ribosomal RNA", at positions 524 to 776 of the family's 1533-position model. The record is from RNAcentral.